GCCAGAGUGGCGGAACUGGUAGACGCGCACGUUUCAGGGACGUGUAUCUUCGGGUGUGUGGGUUCGAAUCCCACCUCUGGUA
This 82-nucleotide transfer RNA is filed under the name bacterium SCSIO 12741. RNAcentral describes it as "tRNA-Leu". It matches the Rfam family "tRNA". From Rfam's summary of the family: Transfer RNA (tRNA) molecules are approximately 80 nucleotides in length. The record is from RNAcentral.